UACGUAGGCAGCAAGCGUUGUUCGGAAUUACUGGGCGUAAAGCGUGCGUAGGUGGUUCGUUAAGUCCGUUGUGAAAGCCCCGAGCUCAACUUGGGAAUUGCAGUGGAUACUGGCGAGCUGGAGUGCGGUAGAGGAAGGUGGAAUUCCCGGUGUAGCGGUGAAAUGCGUAGAGAUCGGGAGGAACACCAGUGGCGAAGGCGGCCUUCUGGACCAGCACUGACACUCAAGCACGAAAGCGUGGGGAGCAAACAGG
This 253-nucleotide ribosomal RNA is filed under the name uncultured bacterium. RNAcentral's name for it is "partial 16S ribosomal RNA". It matches the Rfam family "Bacterial small subunit ribosomal RNA", at positions 524 to 776 of the family's 1533-position model. The record is from RNAcentral.